This 468-nucleotide ribosomal RNA is filed under the name uncultured bacterium. Its description in RNAcentral is "partial 16S ribosomal RNA". It matches the Rfam family "Bacterial small subunit ribosomal RNA", at positions 28 to 507 of the family's 1533-position model. The record is from RNAcentral.
GACGAACGCUGGCGGCGUGCUUAACACAUGCAAGUCGAACGGAAAGGCCCUGCUUUUGUGGGGUGCUCGAGUGGCGAACGGGUGAGUAACACGUGAGUAACCUGCCCUUGACUUUGUGAUAACUUCAGGAAACUGGGGCUCAUAUCGGAUAGGAUCUCCUGCUGCAUGGUGGUGGUUGGAAAGUUUCGGCGGUUGGGGCUGGUCUCGCUGCUUAUCAGCUUCUUGGUGAGGUAGUCGCUUACCAAGGGUGUGACGGGUAGCCGGCCUGAGAGGGUUAACGGGCACAUUGGGCCUGAGAUACGCAGCAGAAUCCUACCGGAGGCAGCAGUGGGGAAUAUUGCGCAAUGGCGCGAAGCCAGAUGCAGCAGCGCCGCGUGCGGGAUAACGGCCUACGGGUUGUAAACAGAUUUCGACUGUGACGAAGAGGGAGUGACGGUAAUGGGUAAAGAAGCACCGGCUAACUACGUG